Molecule: ribosomal RNA, 360 nt
Filed under: uncultured bacterium
Lineage: Bacteria
Description: bacterial SSU rRNA
Rfam family: Bacterial small subunit ribosomal RNA
Source: RNAcentral
CGCUUAACACAUGCAAGUCGCACGAGAAAGGGAGCAAUCCUGAGUAUAGUGGCGCACGGGUGAGUAACACGUGGAUGAUCUACCUCCUUGUGGGGAAUAACCCUGGGAAACCGGGGCUAAUACCGCAUACGUCCGAGAGGAGAAAGCCGAAAGGCGCAGGGAGAGGAGUCCGCGGUCGAUUAGCUAGUUGGCAGGGUAAUGGCCUACCAAGGCGACGAUCGAUAGCCGGCCUGAGAGGGCACACGGCCACACUAGCACUGAAACACGGGCCAGACUCCUACGGGAGGCAGCAGUGGGGAAUCUUGCACAAUGGGGGAAACCCUGAUGCAGCGACGCCGCGUGAACGAUGAAGCCUUCGGG